Molecule: microRNA precursor, 89 nt
Filed under: Lepisosteus oculatus (spotted gar)
Lineage: Eukaryota; Metazoa; Chordata; Actinopteri; Semionotiformes; Lepisosteidae
Description: miRNA (ENSLOCG00000019657.1)
Source: RNAcentral
UGUCUAAUUUUAAAACCAACACAAUGUGUGUGUGUGUGUGUGUGUGUGUGUGUGUGUGAUGGAACAUGCAACACUCACUCUAUAUGCAU